UACAGAGGUCUCAAGCGUUGUUCGGAAUCACUGGGCGUAAAGGGUGCGUAGGUGGGCAGGUAAGUCAGUGGUGAAAUCUCCGGGCUUAACUCGGAAACUGCCAUUGAUACUAUCUGUCUUGAAUACCGUGGAGGUCAGCGGAAUAUGUCAUGUAGCGGUGAAAUGCUUAGAUAUGACAUAGAACACCAAUUGCGAAGGCAGCUGGCUACACGAAUAUUGACACUGAUGCACGAAAGCGUGGGGAUCAAACAGG
Molecule: ribosomal RNA, 253 nt
Filed under: uncultured bacterium
Lineage: Bacteria
Description: partial 16S ribosomal RNA
Rfam family: Bacterial small subunit ribosomal RNA
Source: RNAcentral